GACGAACGCUGGCGGCGUGGAUUAGGCAUGCAAGUCGAACGGUAUCAUCCUUUCGGGGGUGAGAGAGUGGCGAACUGGUGAGUAACACGUAGGUUAUCUACCCUCAAGACGGGGACAACCCAGGGAAACUUGGGCUAAUACCGGAUGUGAGCAACUUUUAGUUGUUUGAAAGGUGGCGUAAGCUGUCGCUUGGGGAUGAGCCUGCGUCCUAUUAGUUAGUUGGUGAGGUAACGGCUCACCUAGGCAAUGAUAGGUAGGCGGCCUUAACGGGUGGUCGCCCACACUGGGAUUGAGAUACGGCCCAGACUCCUACGGGAGGCAGCAGUCGAGAAUAGUCUACAAUGGUCGGAAGACUGAUAGUGCGACGCCGCGUGAACGAUGAAUCCCUUCGGGGUGUAAAGUUCUUUUAUAUGUGAGCAGUGCUUCUUAUAUUAAACAGUAUGGGGAGAGAGAUAUUAGCAUAUGAAUAAGCGACGGCUAAACUCCGUGCCCAGCAGCCGCGGUAAA
RNAcentral lists this ribosomal RNA (507 nucleotides) under uncultured bacterium. RNAcentral's name for it is "bacterial SSU rRNA". It matches the Rfam family "Bacterial small subunit ribosomal RNA", at positions 28 to 524 of the family's 1533-position model. The record is from RNAcentral.